UACCUUAUUAUUAGUGUCGUCCAAAACUCGGUGCCAGAAGACUCGGUAAGGCCAGAGACACAAACGUUAAUCGUCUUAAUCAGGCGUAAAGGGUUUGUAGGCGGCUUUAAAAUUUAGUUAAAAAAAAAUUUAAGUAAAGAAUAAAAGCUAGAAUCAAAUAGAGGAUAUAUGAAAGAAUGCUUAGAGUAGGUCUGAUAUCUUUAGAUACUAAGUAGAAUAUUAAAGGCGAAAGCUUUUUUCCAUUAAUGAUUGACGCUCAGAAACGAAGGUGAGGAUAGGAAAUAGGAUUAGAUACCCAGAAUACCCCUCUCUGUCAACGAUGAAUGGUAGUUAUUAGUAAAAAUUAUUAAUGGCAAUGUUAACACGAUAACCAUUCCGCCUUGUGAGUACAACUGCAAAGUUGAAAACAAAAAAAUUAGUCGGUUUCGGAGCAAACGAAGUGAAGCAUGUUAUUUAAUUCAAUAAAUCCGCAA
This 473-nucleotide ribosomal RNA is filed under the name Russula sp. Its description in RNAcentral is "partial small subunit ribosomal RNA". It matches the Rfam family "Bacterial small subunit ribosomal RNA", at positions 476 to 966 of the family's 1533-position model. Lineage: Eukaryota; Fungi; Basidiomycota; Agaricomycetes; Russulales; Russulaceae. The record is from RNAcentral.